Mycena capillaripes is the source of this 85-nucleotide non-coding RNA. The record is from the annotation of a GenBank genome assembly. NCBI's taxonomy places the organism in Eukaryota, Fungi, Basidiomycota, Agaricomycetes, Agaricales, Mycenaceae.
UCCACUUUGGUUCAGUGGCUGAAUCGACCGCCUUCAAAAAAAUUGCGGAAGCGGCAGGUCGGGGAUUCGAAACCUCCUGAUGGCA